CCUACGGGCGGCUGCAGUGGGGAAUAUUGCACAAUGGGCGCAAGCCUGAUGCAGCCAUGCCGCGUGUGUGAAGAAGGUCUUCGGGUUGUAAAGCACUUUCAGCGGGGAGGAAGGCGGUGAGGUUAAUAACCUCAUCGAUUGACGUUACCCGCAGAAGAAGCACCGGCUAACUCCGUGCCAGCAGCCGCGGUAAUACGGAGGGUGCAAGCGUUAAUCGGAAUUACUGGGCGUAAAGCGCACGCAGGCGGUCUGUCAAGUCGGAUGUGAAAUCCCCGGGCUCAACCUGGGAACUGCAUUCGAAACUGGCAGGCUAGGGUCUUGUAGAGGGGGGUAGAAUUCCAGGUGUAGCGGUGAAAUGCGUAGAGAUCUGGAGGAAUACCGGUGGCGAAGGCGGCCCCCUGGACAAAGACUGACGCUCAGGUGCGAAAGCGUGGGGAGCAAACAGGAUUAGAUACCCCUGUAGUC
Molecule: ribosomal RNA, 465 nt
Filed under: uncultured Klebsiella sp.
Lineage: Bacteria; Pseudomonadati; Pseudomonadota; Gammaproteobacteria; Enterobacterales; Enterobacteriaceae
Description: bacterial SSU rRNA
Rfam family: Bacterial small subunit ribosomal RNA
Source: RNAcentral